GUGGGGAAUCUUCCGCAAUGGACGAAAGUCUGACGGAGCAACGCCGCGUGAGUGAUGAAGGUUUUCGGACUGUAAAGCUCUGUUGUUUGGGACGAAAGUGCCUGUUGCGAACAGUUACGGGUAUUGACGGUACUAAACGAGGAAGCCACGGCUAACUACGUGCCAGCAGCCGCGGUAAUACGUAGGUGGCAAGCGUUGUCCGGAAUUAUUGGGCGUAAAGAGCAUGUAGGCGGGAAUCUAAGUCUGUUGUUAAAAUGCGGGGCUCAACCCCGUAUUGCGAUGGAAACUGGGUUUCUUGAGUGCAGGAGAGGAAAGGGGAAUUCCCAGUGUAGCGGUGAAAUGCGUAGAUAUUGGGAGGAACACCAGUGGCGAAGGCGCCUUUCUGGACUGUGUCUGACGCUGAGAUGCGAAAGCCAGGGUAGCGAACGGGAUUAGAAACCCUUGUAGUCC
This 450-nucleotide ribosomal RNA is filed under the name uncultured bacterium. RNAcentral's name for it is "partial 16S ribosomal RNA". It matches the Rfam family "Bacterial small subunit ribosomal RNA", at positions 354 to 796 of the family's 1533-position model. The record is from RNAcentral.